This is a long non-coding RNA of Zeugodacus cucurbitae (melon fly), 1321 nucleotides long. RefSeq lists it as uncharacterized. NCBI's taxonomy places the organism in Eukaryota, Metazoa, Arthropoda, Insecta, Diptera, Tephritidae. The transcript has 4 exons. The record is from RefSeq and is a predicted model, not a curated record.
UUCGUUGAAUAUAAACUGGUUUAGCAUGGCCAGUUGGGUUUAAUAGGUUUCAAGGUAUUUUAAUAGCGUUGUAGAGCCUAUUUCGUUCGUUACGUAUUAAGAAGACUACAGUAGCACAAUAUUAGGAGCAUUGGUUUAGUUUAAUAAAAAGCGAAAUGAAAAAAUUUAUUUUCAAGUUUUCAAGUAAAACUUGAUAAUAAAAAAUGUUGCAAAGGAAUUCUAUACACGUUAUUCAAGAAUUAUAGUAUAUUAACUUUUGCCAUGGAUUAUAUACUCACUUAGUUUCAGUAUUACAUUUUGCUUUAUGUACCAUAUAUUUAUAAAACUCAACCAAACUAACACAAAUCACUAUAUCAACAAUUAUAGUGAUGAGAUAACAGCAGUGGAGAGGUUGCAAGGCUUCAUACCAUUGUAGAAUCUCCAAAUUGAGGUCUUGUUUGGCGACAUCAUGAAAGGGACACAUUCCAACAAUAAUACUAAAGAACAAUACAAUACAACAUACCACUUCUUCAGAACUUUGAAGACAGCAUACCUCUACUUCUAUUGACAGUAAUUAACGCUGAAGGCGGCAACAGUAAAUAUUGAAGCUCUUCUAGGAAGGUACAUAUUUAAAGAUUUCUGAAAUUUAAAAAUAAAAUUAAGACUCCAUUGUGACGUCAUUUCCGGUUACCACUCGGAAAAAAGGUGCGUCCGCGUUGUCAGCAUCCUGACAGGAUCAUCCAAAAUGAAAAAACAAAAAGUGUUUUAGUUGUAAUUGUGCAAAAUGUCAUCAAGAUCGGAACAUCCGACAACCGACUUUGAAGACACGGUUCCGUUUAAAGUUUUGAGUAACAAUAAUACCUGACAUGGAGCGCACACCUUCCAAAGGCUGUUUCUCCGAAACUAUUUUUCAUGUCGAUGGAAAAUUUAGGAUAAUAUUCUUGAGAUGUUGUAGAAAUUAAUGAGCCAGAAAACAAAAAAUCGAUUUUUUGAAUCCACGAAACCCAGAUGGCGCCAUUGUUACCGUAUAAAAGACGUCUAAUGCCUAAUGCUUACAAUGUACGACAAAAAAAGCUCAAGAAACCAUGGACCAGCAUAGUGACACACAUGUAGUAUUGUACUAUGUUUACAUCCAUCAGCAGAUAGAAAUAAAUUCAAGCAAAAUAUAAUUAUGAAGAACAGGCAGGACAAUUGAUCCUGGCUUAGUCAUAACUUCAAUCAAUCGCAAAAUAUCAUUGUCCAUUAUAAUUACACAACAUAUUUUUCACAUUAUUUUUUCAAAUCUUCGGCCGCGCUCAAAACAAAAAUAACCCUGGUCGAGCCAAAACCGGGCAUUAUCAAA